Lepus europaeus (European hare) is the source of this 1166-nucleotide long non-coding RNA. RefSeq lists it as uncharacterized. Lineage: Eukaryota; Metazoa; Chordata; Mammalia; Lagomorpha; Leporidae. The transcript has 3 exons. The record is from RefSeq and is a predicted model, not a curated record.
UCGGAGGAAGGACUCUGGGCUUCGGUAGCCACAAUGUAGGCUGGAGCCAGACUCCACCACCACCAGGGGAGGAACCACGGGCUCCUGUGACCCAUCGGAGCCCAGGACUGCCUGUGGUGAGGGACAGCGGCCCGCCAAGAGGUGUGUGGGAGCUACCAGCCACCCUCACCAGAAGUUAACCGGUGUCAAAGACACUACUGAGUUGUGACAGAGAUGCCCCAGUGCCUCGGACAAGACACAGGCCCGUCUCCGGCGGCUUCGGUUUCCCUUUCUCUGAGAUGGGAAUGGCAUGGCGCCGCGAGGAAGAUUCCAGCAGGAAGGUACUGGCAGGCAGCGGAGGCUACGCCCUGUCACUACGCCCACAGUGCAGCCCUGGGACAUGCGCCCACUUCUCAGGCACACGAUCAAGGCUCAGGCGUGAGGCAACCACAUGCAGAGCUCACAGGAAGAAGACAUUUCUGUCUGCAGCCGCCUGUCCAGGGAGAUGACCACAGCGGGCUGCCACCUGGGAGAUGCCACCUGUGGAUCCAGACAGCCAUGGCUCACUGUGAACCUGCUCCCUCUGAACCUCCAGGCCUUGUCCCAUCCCCACCCCACCAAGUUCCUGUCCCUUUAAGCUCUACAGGAAGGGUCAACCUCCUGCAGUCCAACAGCCCUACCCUGCCUGGUCUCCUUCCUGUAAUCUUUCUCCACUGUUGCCUUAUUGCCUAGACGAAAAUGAUCAAAAGGUCCCAGGGAAAUGCUCAAAUCCAGGACCACCCUUCUAAGAUGCCCAUGUCCCACAUCAAAGCGCCUGGCUUCACGUCCCGGCCCCAAGCUCCAGCUUCCUGCUAAUCAGACCCUGGGAGGACUUGGACCACCUCCUGCUGCUUCCCCUGGCCAUCUGCAGGGAGCUGGAUCUGAAGUGGAGCAGCUGGGACAAGAACUGGCACCCAUAUUGGGACGCUGGUGUCACAGGCGGUGGCUUUACCCGCUACGCCACGAUACCUGCCCCCCUCUUUAUCUAUUUAAUGCAGCUACUGGAAAAGUCCAAGCUGCACGUGGCACACAUGAUGUCUCUAUUGGCUCGUGCUGGCUGGUGCUCUAAGAACCCUGCUGCUCGGACGCCCACGGGGACCGAUAGAUUUUUAAAGCUUUCAGAACAGGCAUUCGGUAUAGUGAUUGAU